CAACGCGUAUGGACUUUAUCAACAUCAAGGAGAUGAACACAUUGUUCAUUUAGUAUGGGUAUAAUGACUACAAAACUAUGUAUCGGCUGAAACCCAAAUAUUCUUAUUUGGAAACUAUGUUGAUGCAAAUAUAGAAGGACAAGGAUAUCAAGGACAUGAUGGCUACAUUGUUGGAGUCUAAGAAAGUCAAUGAUUUUGGUGAUUACAAAAUGCAUAUUUAAUUUGAACAUCUAGUAUUGGAUGUUGA
RNAcentral lists this long non-coding RNA (247 nucleotides) under Lupinus angustifolius (narrow-leaved blue lupine). RNAcentral describes it as "long non-coding RNA (LANG_LNC001850)". Lineage: Eukaryota; Viridiplantae; Streptophyta; Magnoliopsida; Fabales; Fabaceae. The record is from RNAcentral.